ACCUCAGUGGUGCAAUCAGUAGCACACCAGAGAAUGGACGUUUGUAGACGCGGGUUCGAAUCCCGCUGAGGUU
Molecule: transfer RNA, 73 nt
Filed under: Dictyocaulus viviparus (bovine lungworm)
Lineage: Eukaryota; Metazoa; Nematoda; Chromadorea; Rhabditida; Metastrongylidae
Rfam family: tRNA
About the family: Transfer RNA (tRNA) molecules are approximately 80 nucleotides in length. Their secondary structure includes four short double-helical elements and three loops (D, anti-codon, and T loops).
Source: Rfam by way of RNAcentral